Dendrobium catenatum is the source of this 1204-nucleotide long non-coding RNA. RefSeq lists it as uncharacterized. The record is from RefSeq and is a predicted model, not a curated record. Lineage: Eukaryota; Viridiplantae; Streptophyta; Magnoliopsida; Asparagales; Orchidaceae. The transcript is spliced from 2 exons.
AACCCACGAUCUCCCUCUCUAUUCGGACGGACCGAACUCCCCCUCACCCAGCUCUCUAUUCGCAAGCCCCUCAGGUCCGUCGGCCUCCUCCCUUGGUUGCGUGAGAACUGAGAAGCCCCCAGGCCGCCCCCGUCUCCUCUCAUUCCCAUGACCGAACCUCCCCUUGGCUUCAUCUGUUUCUAGCUUUGCAAGAAGGCCGAACGAAAGCCCUACCUCCCCGUCUUCCUUUUUGUUCGCAAGAAACCCAGGCGGAGUCUCCCUCUAUCCCGUCGGUUCCGCCCCAAGGAAGGCAGCCCGAAGCCAUCCUGGUUGGGCGGUUCUUGCUUUAGCCAAUCCUGUCCGAAGCCCUUUCUUGCCCUAGCCACCGGCCAUAGGUCCAGGUUUGGCUAAGGUGCUAGCUAAUUGAAAUGCCAAGUGAAUCAUAAAUUGCUGCAGCGUCUUAAUUUCUUGGCUAUACUAAAAUUGAAGCUUGAUUUUAACCUGGGAGAGAGCUUGUUAGAAUCGAGGAAUAAGUUCGAUGAAUCUUAAAAUUGAAGAUGUUCAAUAAUUUCUUGGCUACUGCUGCAGCGUCUUAACUUCUUUAAUGAGAACCAAUACAGAAUAGCUUGAUUUUAACCUGGUAUUAGAUUCAUUAGGCAUAUUUUUUAAUUUAUUGAACCUUUUUUAGCCCGUUUCUUGCAAUUUUGUUCAGCACUUUAACCUUUUUAAAUUUUUGGAUGAACAAUAGCCUUCUAAGUGGCAUAGCUUCUUCAGUUUGCUUCUUUCAUUUGAUGCUUAUACGUCUCGGUGUGAUAGUGCAGGAUUAAGUAUGUACAUGGAUUUUGCAUGUGCUUAUUUGAAUCGGUGUAUUUUAUGUGGUAAUAAACUUGUUAAUAGCAUCUACCAUAUUUUAUUUGGGCUCCUUGUGCUAUCAACCAUAGUUUCAGGGAGAAGACUUAUUUAUUAUGUUUAUACCCAAAGGAUCAAAUGGUUUUUUUUUAUAUAUUUAUCUUUAGUAAUUGGAUGAAUCUUAAAAUUGAAGUUGUUCAUUACUUUCAAGUUGUUUCGUGGUAAUUUGGUAACUAUUUGAUGGUAUAAUUAUUGCUGCACACAAACCCCUUUCAUGAAUUAUUAUUGCUCAUGAAUCAUUUUUUGCUUGAAGUUGAAUUUUAUAGUUACAAAGAUGGUCGAGCCAUUGGAAGAUGUUGCUGAACUACAUGAAAUU